This 1515-nucleotide long non-coding RNA is filed under the name Homo sapiens (human). RNAcentral's name for it is "non-protein coding lnc-TTC33-6:1". Lineage: Eukaryota; Metazoa; Chordata; Mammalia; Primates; Hominidae. The record is from RNAcentral.
ACAGGCACUGUGGACUGGGAGACGUCCUUUCAGAUGUGAAUGAGAAGAUGCUGGAGGGUCCCCAAAGACAGAAUAGAAAAAUUCUUUGCUGAAUUCAACCUACACCAGCUAUAGGGGUUGAAAAAUACAAUUUAAAAAUUAGUAUAUUCUAAAUUUGGACUCAAGGGCAGAUGGUUCAUAAUGAGCACAAAUGUCCAAGUUUUCCCAUCAGAUGGUCAUCAGAAGGACACCAUGGGCUACUCAAUAGGUAUUUAGUGACUGUGCAGAAAGGGCAGUCAUUUUAGAGAAUACAAAGAAGAUAGGGCUCCAAGGUAGUUAAAGCAAUGGAAAUAAGGCCAGCUCCCAUAAAUCACUUUUCAGAAAUAUCUCUCCAAUGGGGAAUGGGGGUGGGGUCAAAACAAGAUACAGUGAUAGAAAUGGUUGGUAGAUUAAAUUUUGUAACCUGAAUUUUUAAAGAUAAUAGGCAUUUAAAAUAUUUCAUCUCAUUGUCAGCACAAGUUUCCAGAAUUUUUGGCCAGAAAAUACAAUUGCUAAAAACAUAAGAUUAUUUGUCCAUGAAAUUGAUCAUGUACUUAAUAAAUAGGCCUACGAGAUAUCAGAAUGAGCCUAUAAUCUUUUGCCUCUUUGUUUUCCUUUGCUUGGCAUUAUGGUGAACUAUAUUUAGGAAGGCCAAACACGUUCUUCCUCAAACUUGGUUUCUCUUUGGCCAGACCCCAUGUUCCCUUGUUCCUUCCGUUUCACUGGGGUGUGCUCAAUGAAAAGUAUUUCAAUUUUAAUUUUUAUUAACCUCACAAAUUAUUUGCUGGUAAGAUUAAAAAAGAAGACACAUGAGCUGUGACACAGAAGAAAUAGUGUUAUUGGUGCUCAGUGGCUGAGGGUCAGAUUUCAGUUCCUUAUACUGGCUGUGUGACUUUGUACGAGUUCCUGAGUCUGUCUGGGUUUCAAAUCCUCACAGAAAAUGAGAAUUGGAACGGGUGAACUUUAAGCCUCCGCAAACUCCAACAUUUUAUGUGUCUAUGCAUUCCAAAGUCCAAUGUUAGUGAUAUUUAAACCCCUGGUACAGAUUAGUCACACAGAUGCAGCCUCCAUUAGUGUUAUCAAUACUCAUAGCUGACACUGAUUGAUUGCUUCCUUGGUGCCAGCUCUUUCUGAAAUCGAUUUCUGAAAUCUUACUUAUUUCUAAAAUAGCUGUGUGUGACAGGUGUUAUUAUUGCUACUUUAUAGAUGAUGAAACCGAGGCUAAGUGGGGCUAAGAAAUAGUUACGUAAGUUAUGAGGCUGAUUUUGAAAUUCAGGCUGUCUGACUCCAAAGCUUAUGCUUAAUCCAGAUACCCUGAACAGUACAAAGUUGACGAAUUUAUGAAUCAAUGAGGAAUAUCUCUCAGAAACACAAUUUUAAGGUGCAGAAUAUAACCCUGCACUAAACUUAUUUCAACCAGGUAUUUUUGUUCACUUAGAUUAUUUGUUUCUGGUUGAGAGAGCAGAUGAUUUAUUUGGUCGUUCGAGGGGUCUGUAU